RNAcentral lists this ribosomal RNA (253 nucleotides) under uncultured bacterium. RNAcentral describes it as "partial 16S ribosomal RNA". It matches the Rfam family "Bacterial small subunit ribosomal RNA", at positions 524 to 776 of the family's 1533-position model. The record is from RNAcentral.
UACGAAGGGUGCAAGCGUUAAUCGGAAUUACUGGGCGUAAAGCGCGCGUAGGCGGCUAAGUAAGUCGGGUGUGAAAGCCCCGGGCUCAACCUGGGAACUGCAUCCGAUACUGUUUGGCUAGAGUAUGAGAGAGGGAGGUAGAAUUCCACGUGUAGCGGUGAAAUGCGUAGAUAUGUGGAAGAAUACCGGUGGCGAAGGCGACCUCCUGGCUUAAUACUGACGCUGAGGUGCGAAAGCGUGGGGAGCAAACAGG